ACAAGUAGCUGUUCCACACUGAAUGCACUUGACUUUAUCUUAUCUUGGAAGCUAAGCAAUCCUAAGCCUGACAAGUAUUUGGCUUGGAGAGCAAACUGGAAACCCAGGUGCUAUAGAUA
Molecule: ribosomal RNA, 119 nt
Organism: Crocodylus porosus (Australian saltwater crocodile)
Lineage: Eukaryota; Metazoa; Chordata; Crocodylia; Crocodylidae
Source: Ensembl